RNAcentral lists this ribosomal RNA (377 nucleotides) under uncultured bacterium. RNAcentral's name for it is "bacterial SSU rRNA". It matches the Rfam family "Bacterial small subunit ribosomal RNA", at positions 521 to 896 of the family's 1533-position model. The record is from RNAcentral.
UAAGACAGAGGCCUCGAGCGUUAGGCGGAAUCACUGGGCUUAAAGCGUGUGUAGGUGGAUGUCUAAGUGCCUUGUGAAAUCCCACAGCUCAACUGUGGAACUGCUUGGCAUACUGGAUGUCUUGAGCCACUUAGGGGUUACCGGAACAAACGGUGGAGCGGUGAAAUGCGUAGAUAUCGUUUGGAACGCCAAUGGUGAAAACAGGUAACUGGGAGUGUGCUGACACUGAGACACGAAAGCCAGGGGAGCGAACGGGAUUAGAUACCCCGGUAGUCCUGGCCGUAAACGAUGUCCACUAGAUCGUGGCAGCUCUGACGUUGUCAUGGUCGAAGCAAAAGUGCUAAGUGGACCGCCUGGGAAGUACGGUCGCAAGGCUA